CCUCUUUCUUUCCUCACUUUCCUGCACAUCUGUUUCUCACUUUCCUCUUCUUAGGUCUCUAUCUCUUUUCUCAUCGACUUCACUUAAUUCAUCAUCUUCUCAAGAAUAAUCGGCUUCUCCAUUUGAUUUGUUACAAUUUGUCACUCUAUUCAUCAAUUUUCACCGUGAUUGAUUUGGAUGUUUCAAAGAAGACAUAACUUAACAUAUUUGGGUAUUUAGAAGUCGAAGUCGUUGUUGCAAGAUUCAAGUUAUACCUUCAAGAAACAAGUGUCGUUUCCUAAUUUAAUGUCUUCGUCAAAGGCAAGAUUACAAGUGAAGAACAUGGGAGGAUUUCUCACUGCUUAUAUUUCUAAAUAAAUGAAGAA
Molecule: long non-coding RNA, 365 nt
Organism: Medicago truncatula (barrel medic)
Lineage: Eukaryota; Viridiplantae; Streptophyta; Magnoliopsida; Fabales; Fabaceae
Exons: 3
Source: RefSeq, a predicted model, not a curated record